Molecule: ribosomal RNA, 1017 nt
Filed under: uncultured bacterium
Lineage: Bacteria
Description: bacterial SSU rRNA
Rfam family: Bacterial small subunit ribosomal RNA
Source: RNAcentral
AGGAAUAUUGGUCAAUGGACGCAAGUCUGAACCAGCCAUGCCGCGUACAGGAAGACGGCUCUAUGAGUUGUAAACUGCUUUUGUACGAGAGUAAACGCUCUUACGUGUAAGAGCCUGAAAGUAUCGUACGAAUAAGGAUCGGCUAACUCCGUGCCAGCAGCCGCGGUAAUACGGAGGAUCCAAGCGUUAUCCGGAUUUAUUGGGUUUAAAGGGUGCGUAGGCGGUUUGAUAAGUUAGAGGUGAAAUACCGGUGCUUAACACCGGAACUGCCUCUAAUACUGUUGAACUAGAGAGUAGUUGCGGUAGGCGGAAUGUAUGGUGUAGCGGUGAAAUGCUUAGAGAUCAUACAGAACACCGAUUGCGAAGGCAGCUUACCAAACUAUAUCUGACGUUGAGGCACGAAAGCGUGGGGAGCAAACAGGAUUAGAUACCCUGGUAGUCCACGCAGUAAACGAUGAUAACUCGCUGUCGGCGAUACACAGUCGGCGGCUAAGCGAAAGCGAUAAGUUAUCCACCUGGGGAGUACGUUCGCAAGAAUGAAACUCAAAGGAAUUGACGGGGGCCCGCACAAGCGGAGGAACAUGUGGUUUAAUUCGAUGAUACGCGAGGAACCUUACCCGGGCUUGAAAGUUACUGACGAUUCUGGAAACAGGAUUUCCCUUCGGGGCAGGAAACUAGGUGCUGCAUGGUUGUCGUCAGCUCGUGCCGUGAGGUGUCGGGUUAAGUCCCAUAACGAGCGCAACCCCUACCGUUAGUUGCCAUCAGGUCAAGCUGGGCACUCUGGCGGGACUGCCGGUGUAAGCCGAGAGGAAGGUGGGGAUGACGUCAAAUCAGCACGGCCCUUACGUCCGGGGCUACACACGUGUUACAAUGGUAGGUACAGAGGGCAGCUACCCAGUGAUGGGAUGCGAAUCUCGAAAGCCUAUCUCAGUUCGGAUCGGAGGCUGAAACCCGCCUCCGUGAAGUUGGAUUCGCUAGUAAUCGCGCAUCAGCCAUGGCGCGGUGAAUACGUUCCCG